This 683-nucleotide small RNA is filed under the name Pongo abelii (Sumatran orangutan). RNAcentral's name for it is "retained intron". Lineage: Eukaryota; Metazoa; Chordata; Mammalia; Primates; Hominidae. The record is from RNAcentral.
AUUUUACAGAAGGGGGAACUGAGGCUCAGUAGGAUAAUGUGAUUUGUUCAAGGUCACACAGCUAGUAAGUGGUGCAGCCAGGACUGGAACCCAAGCAUCUGGCUCCAGCGUUCUUUCUUAAGCUUCCUAGGGCACCCUGGAGGUUCCUUUCCAUGUUCCUUUUUCAUCAGGCCUGCCUGGGCAUCCUAAUUGGCCUAGCCUGCACAGUGUCUGAGGGUAGGGCCUUCUUGUCUCUCUGCUCCAGGUCUGUGGGGUGUGGCGGGCGGUGCCUCGGUUGUCUCUGCGGCUCCUUAGGGCAGAACAGCUGCAUGUGGCACUUGUGACACUCACUCACCCUUCAGGGGAGGUCUGGGGGCCUCUCAUCCGGCACCGGGCCCUGGCUGCAGAGACCUUCAGUGCCAUCCUGACUCUAGAAGGCCCCCCACAGCAGGGCGUAGGGGGCAUCACCCUGCUCACUCUCAGUGACACAGAGGACUCCUUGCAUUUUUUGCUGCUCUUCCGAGGGCUGCUGGAACCCAGGAGUGGGGGUAAGUGGGAUGGGGGCAAAACAUGUGAGAAGGUUAGGGAGAGCACCUGUCUCAGAAAGACCCACAUGUGCGGCCUUGCAGGACUAACCCAGGUUCCCUUGAGGCUCCAGAUUCUACACCAGGGGCAGCUACUGCGAGAACUUCAGGCCAAUGUCU